RNAcentral lists this ribosomal RNA (393 nucleotides) under uncultured bacterium. RNAcentral describes it as "partial 16S ribosomal RNA". It matches the Rfam family "Bacterial small subunit ribosomal RNA", at positions 523 to 918 of the family's 1533-position model. The record is from RNAcentral.
AUACGUAGGGGGCGAGCGUUGUCCGGAAUGAUUGGGCGUAAAGGGCGCGUAGGCGGCCCGGUAAGUCUGGAGUGAAAGUCCUGUUUUUAAGAUGGGAAUUGCUUUGGAUACUGUCGGGCUUGAGUGCAGGAGAGGUAAGUGGAAUUCCCAGUGUAGCGGUGAAAUGCGUAGAGAUUGGGAGGAACACCAGUGGCGAAGGCGACUUACUGGACUGUAGCUGACGCUGAGGCGCGAAAGUGUGGGGAGCAAACAGGAUUAGAUACCCUGGUAGUCCACGCAGUAAACGAUGAUGGCUAACCGCUGGGCUUAUCAGUUCAGUGGCCAAGCGAAAGCGAUAAGCCAUCCACCUGGGGAGUACGACCGCAAGGUUGAAACUCAAAGGAAUUGACGGGG